CAGUCGCCGCGGUAAUACGAAGGGUGCAAGCGUUACUCGGAAUUACUGGGCGUAAAGCGUGCGUAGGUGGUGGUUUAAGUCCGUUGUGAAAGCCCUGGGCUCAACCUGGGAAUUGCAGUGGAUACUGGAUCACUAGAGUGUGGUAGAGGAUAGUGGAAUUUCCGGUGUAGCAGUGAAAUGCGUAGAGAUCGGAAGGAACAUCUGUGGCGAAGGCGACUAUCUGGGCCAACACUGACACUGAGGCACGGAAGCGUGGGGAGCAAACAGGAUUAGAUACCCCGGUAGUCCCUGUCUCUUAUAC
Molecule: ribosomal RNA, 301 nt
Filed under: uncultured bacterium
Lineage: Bacteria
Description: partial 16S ribosomal RNA
Rfam family: Bacterial small subunit ribosomal RNA
Source: RNAcentral